AUUGAACGCUGGCGGCAUGCCUUACACAUGCAAGUCGAACGGCAGCACGGAGCUUGCUCUGGUGGCGAGUGGCGAACGGGUGAGUAAUAUAUCGGAACGUACCCAAGAGUGGGGGAUAACGUAGCGAAAGUUACGCUAAUACCGCAUACGAUCUAAGGAUGAAAGCAGGGGACCGCAAGGCCUUGUGCUCCUGGAGCGGCCGAUAUCUGAUUAGCUAGUUGGUGGGGUAAAGGCCCACCAAGGCAUCGAUCAGUAGCUGGUCUGAGAGGACGACCAGCCACACUGGAACUGAGACACGGUCCAGACUCCUACGGGAGGCAGCAGUGGGGAAUUUUGGACAAUGGGGGCAACCCUGGUCCAGCAAUGCCGCGUGAGUGAAGAAGGCCUUCGGGUUGUAAAGCUCUUUUGUCAGGGAAGAAAAGGUUCGGGCUAAUAUCCUGGGCUCAUGACGGUACCUGAAGAAUAAGCACCGGCUAACUACGUGCCAGCAGCCGCCGCCG
Molecule: ribosomal RNA, 500 nt
Filed under: uncultured bacterium
Lineage: Bacteria
Description: partial 16S ribosomal RNA
Rfam family: Bacterial small subunit ribosomal RNA
Source: RNAcentral